This 501-nucleotide ribosomal RNA is filed under the name Paenibacillaceae bacterium CL7.84. RNAcentral describes it as "bacterial SSU rRNA". It matches the Rfam family "Bacterial small subunit ribosomal RNA", at positions 17 to 499 of the family's 1533-position model. Lineage: Bacteria; Bacillati; Bacillota; Bacilli; Caryophanales; Paenibacillaceae. The record is from RNAcentral.
CCCUGGCUCAGGACGAACGCGGCGGCGUGCCUAAUACAUGCAAGUCGAGCGGAUUUAAUUGAAAGCUUGCUUUAAUUAAGUUAGCGGCGGACGGGUGAGUAACACGUGGGUAACCUGCCUUUAAGACUGGGAUAACAUUCGGAAACGGAUGCUAAUACCGGAUAGGCGAUUUGGUCGCAUGAUCGAAUCGAGAAAGAUGGAGCAAUCUAUCACUUAGAGAUGGACCCGCGGCGCAUUAGCUAGUUGGUGAGGUAACGGCUCACCAAGGCGACGAUGCGUAGCCGACCUGAGAGGGUGAUCGGCCACACUGGGACUGAGACACGGCCCAGACUCCUACGGGAGGCAGCAGUAGGGAAUCUUCCGCAAUGGACGAAAGUCUGACGGAGCAACGCCGCGUGAGUGAUGAAGGUUUUCGGAUCGUAAAGCUCUGUUGCCAGGGAAGAACGCUUGGGAUAGUAACUGCUCCCAAGGUGACGGUACCUGAGAAGAAAGCCCCGGCUA